GCCGGGCGUGGUGGCACACGCCUGUAAUCCCAGCAACUCAGGAGGAUGAGGAAGGAGAAUCUUGAGUUCAAAGCCAACCUCAGCAGAUUAGCAAGGCACUUAGCAACUCAGUGAGACCCUGUCUCU
This 126-nucleotide small RNA is filed under the name Marmota monax (woodchuck). Lineage: Eukaryota; Metazoa; Chordata; Mammalia; Rodentia; Sciuridae. The record is from RNAcentral.